RNAcentral lists this ribosomal RNA (750 nucleotides) under Eucephalobus sp. JB055. Its description in RNAcentral is "eukaryotic LSU rRNA". The stretch from base 314 to 467 matches the Rfam family "5.8S ribosomal RNA". The record is from RNAcentral. Lineage: Eukaryota; Metazoa; Nematoda; Chromadorea; Rhabditida; Cephalobidae.
GGCUGGAUCAUUAUCGAGCUUAAUGAUACACUAUAUGCACUAUGGCAACAUAGUGUGUAGUGGCACGCUCAAUGAGCGGUACGUUUGAAAUGACGUACGUCUGCUCGCCACAGUGACCCAACGGCUCUCGGUUGGCGUCUACCCGUUCCUGAGCAGUUGUGCCUCGUCCGUGGCUGCGAUGAGGGAACGGAAUAUGCAUACGUCCUGCUAGUUCAGGGUAGCGGAUGCUGAGACUUAAUGAGCACCAUGCCUGGGUGCUGCCAACCAACCCUUUUUUUCUAACGAUUUUUUCGAAUAUAAAGACAAAACAUAUCAGUCUUGCCGGUGGAUCACUCGGCUCGUGGAUCGAUGAAGAACGCAGCAAACUGCGAUAAAUAGCGUGAAUUGCAGACGCUUUGAACGUUAAAGUUUCGAACGCACAUUGCGCCGUAGGAUUCCUACCCUGCGGCACAUCUGGUUGAGGGUCGUGAUCAUAACACAGCAUUGACUAUGGCUGUAAUAAAAGUAGCUGGCGAAUCACGUGUCCGGCCCACCCGCCUCGGGUUGGACGUGUUUUGCCAUUGUGCUUUAGAGGACAUUCCCCUUCGGGGGUUAUAUGCCUACCACACGGAUGAUCUAUUAGCCGACGCUAAAGGUCCCGGUCACUGGGUAUCAUGCUUAUGAUAUACUUGGUGGCGUCGGGGACGACGGCUAGUACGCUUCAUACGUGCCUGGUGAUUGAGAGUGAUUCGCUCUCCCGACCUCAACUCA